AGUGAACGCUGGCGGUAGGCCUAACACAUGCAAGUCGAACGGCAGCACAGUAAGAGCUUGCUCUUACGGGUGGCGAGUGGCGGACGGGUGAGGAAUACAUCGGAAUCUACUUUUUCGUGGGGGAUAACGUAGGGAAACUUACGCUAAUACCGCAUACGACCUACGGGUGAAAGCAGGGGAUCUUCGGACCUUGCGCGAUUGAAUGAGCCGAUGUCGGAUUAGCUAGUUGGCGGGGUAAAGGCCCACCAAGGCGACGAUCCGUAGCUGGUCUGAGAGGAUGAUCAGCCACACUGGAACUGAGACACGGCCCAGACUCCUACGGGAGGCAGCAGUGGGGAAUAUUGGACAAUGGGCGCAAGCCUGAUCCAGCCAUACCGCGUGGGUGAAGAAGGCCUUCGGGUUGUAAAGCCCUUUUGUUGGGAAAGAAAAGCAGCAGGUUAAUACCCCGCUGUUCUGACGGUACCCAAAGAAGAAGCACCGGCGAACUUCG
RNAcentral lists this ribosomal RNA (490 nucleotides) under uncultured bacterium. Its description in RNAcentral is "partial 16S ribosomal RNA". It matches the Rfam family "Bacterial small subunit ribosomal RNA", at positions 29 to 505 of the family's 1533-position model. The record is from RNAcentral.